GAUGAAGAACGCAGCGAAAUGCGAUAAGUAAUGUGAAUUGCAGAAUUCAGUGAAUCAUCGAAUCUUUGAACGCACAUUGCGCCCUCUGGUAUUCCGGAGGGCAUGCCUGUUCGAGCGUCAUUUCACCACUCAAGCCUGGCUUGGUAAUGGGCGCCGCGGUGUUCCGCGCGCCUCAAAGUCUCCGGCUGAGCUGUCCGUCUCCAAGCGUUGUGAUUUCAUUAAUCGCUUCGGAGUGCGGGCGGCCGCGGCCGUUAAAUCUUUCACAAGGUUGACCUCGGAUCAGGUAGGGAUACCCGCUGAACUUAAGCAUAUCAAUAAGCGGAGGA
This 326-nucleotide unclassified non-coding RNA is filed under the name soil metagenome. Its description in RNAcentral is "partial contains 5.8S ribosomal RNA, internal transcribed spacer 2, and large subunit ribosomal RNA". The stretch from base 1 to 120 matches the Rfam family "5.8S ribosomal RNA", at positions 35 to 154 of the family's 154-position model. The record is from RNAcentral.